AAAUUUAAAAACAAUAAUCAAAUUAAUGCAUUUUUAAUUUUAAAAUGUUAUGUCCAAAACUAUUAACCAUUCAAUCUAUUAAAAAUAAAAAAUUAGUAAAAUGAAAGUUAUAUUUUUAAAUACAAAAAAUUUGAGAAAUAAAAAAUUUAAUAAUUUUUUUUCAAAAUCUAAAUAUCCGAACCCGAUCCGAAAUAACUGAAUCCAAACUAAAAAUACCUGAACCCGACCCGAAGUUCAAAAAUACCCAAACGGGCUCUACACCUCUAUACCGAAAUACCC
This 279-nucleotide long non-coding RNA is filed under the name Brassica napus (rape). Its description in RNAcentral is "long non-coding RNA (BNAP_LNC016753)". Lineage: Eukaryota; Viridiplantae; Streptophyta; Magnoliopsida; Brassicales; Brassicaceae. The record is from RNAcentral.